Molecule: ribosomal RNA, 495 nt
Filed under: uncultured bacterium
Lineage: Bacteria
Description: partial 16S ribosomal RNA
Rfam family: Bacterial small subunit ribosomal RNA
Source: RNAcentral
GACGAACGCUGGCGGCGUGCCUAAUACAUGCAAGUAGAACGCUGAAGGAGGAGCUUGCUUCUCUGGAUGAGUUGCGAACGGGUGGGUAACGCGUAGGUAACCUGCCUGGUAGCGGGGGAUAACUAUUGGAAACGAUAGCUAAUACCGCAUAAUAGCAGUUGUUGCAUGACAACUGUUUGAAAGGUGCAAUUGCACCACUACCAGAUGGACCCGCGUUGUAUUAGCUAGUUGGUGGGGUAACGGCUCACCAAGGCGACGAUACAUAGCCGACCUGAGAGGGUGAUCGGCCACACUGGGACUGAGACACGGCCCAGACUCCUACGGGAGGCAGCAGUAGGGAAUCUUCGGCAAUGGACGGAAGUCUGACCGAGCAACGCCGCGUGAGUGAAGAAGGUUUUCGGAUCGUAAAGCUCUGUUGUAAGAGAAGAACGAGUGUGAGAGUGGAAAGUUCACACUGUGACGGUAUCUUACCAGAAAGGGACGGCUAACUACGUG